UCAUGCUCUUUCCUGUCCCCCGCCUGCUACCUAGCCUCAAUUUCGUACUUGGAAAGCCCAGGGCCUGCAGCUCAGAGGUUCUGUGAGUCUGUGCUUCCUGUUGCCUUCCCUCUGUCUCAGAGGACUCCACUUAUAAAACCACUCCAUGCCAUCAAGAAAGGUAUUUUAAACAUUGGGAGACAUUUGGAUAAUUUCACAGAUGCCACUGGAUCCAUCUCAGGCUGAUCCUCGUCUACCUCAGACUCCGUUCUCCUCCUCCAGACUUCUCCAUACCAUUUUGAAAGAAAACUAAAAAUGAAAAAGAAUGGCAGAUCAAUGGAAUAGAAUAGAAGAACCAGAAAUACACCCAUACACCUAUGGAGACUUAAUUUUUAACAAAGAAGCCAAAACCAUACAAUGGGAAAAAAAUAGAAUCUUCAAUAAAUGGUGCUGGUCUAACUAGAUGUCUACAUUUAGAAAAGUGCAAAUAGAUCCAUAUUUAUCACCCUGCACAAAACUAAAGUCUUAGUGGAUCAAAGACCUCAGCAUAAAACCAGACACACUAAACUUGUUAGAAGAAAAGUGGAGAAGAGCUUUAACCUCAUUGGCACAGGAGACAAAUUCCUGAACAGAACACCAACAGCACAAGCUCUAAGAUCAACAAUCAAUAAAUGGGUCCUCAUGAAACUGAAAAGCUUCUGUAAAGCAAAGGACAUUGUUAUCAAAACAAAACAUCCAUCUACAGACUGGGAAAGGAUCUUCCCCAACCCUAUAUAUGACAGAGGACUAAUAUCCAGAAUAAAUAAAUACUCAAGAAGUGAAACUGCAACAAAUCAAACAAUCCAAUUACAAAAUGGGUACAGAGCUAAAGAGAGAAUUCUCAAUAGAGGAAUAUAGAAUGGCAGAGAAACAUUUAAAGAAAUGUUCAACAUCCUUAGCUAUCAGGGAAAUGCACAUCAAAACAACCCUAAGAUGUCGCCUUACACCCAUCAGAAUGGCUAAGAUCAAAAACUGAAGGGAUGAUGCAUUCUGGAGAAGAUGUGGAGAAGGAGAAAACCUCCUCCAUUGCUGGUGGGAAUGUAAAUUUGUACAACCACUUUGAAAACCAAUCUAGUGCUUUCUCAGAAAAUUAGGAAUAGUGCUACCUCAAGAUCCAGCAACACCACUUCUAGGCAUAUAUCCAAAAUAUGCUCAAGUAUACAACAAGCUUUAUUCAUAGUACCAGAAUCUGAAAAUAGCCCAGAUGCUCCUCAACUGAAAAAUAGAUGCAGAGGGCCUCUGAAAGAAUAUACUCACCAGGGUAUCAAAGCAGAGGCUGAGACUCAUAGCCAAAUUUUGGGCAGAGUGCAGGGAAUCUUAUGAAAGAAGGGGGAGAGAGAAAGACAUGGAGGGGACAGGAGUUCCACAAGUUGACCAACAGAACCAAAAAAUCUGUGCACAAGGGCCUUUUCUGAGACUGAUACUCCAACCAAGGACCAUGCAUGGGGAUAACCUAGAACCCCUGCACAGAUGUAGCCCAUGGCAGCUCAGUCUCCAAGUGGGUUCUCUAGUAAGGGAAACAGGGGCUGUCUCUGACAUGAAUUCAGUGGCUGGCUCUUUGAUCACCUUCCCUUGAGGGGGGCUCAGCUUUACCAGGCCAUAGCGGAAGACAAUGCAGCCAGUUCUGAUGAGAACUGAUAGGCUAGAUUCAGAUGGAGGAAGAGGACCGCGCCUAUCAGUGGACUAGGGGAGGUUCAUGGGAGGAGAAAAGGGGGAAGGUUGGAAUUGGGAAGGGAAGAGGAAGGGGGCUAAAGCUGGGAUACAAAAUUAAUAAAUUGUAAUUAAUAAAAAAAUAAUUAAUUAAAAAGAAUUCAGUAAUUUAAAAAAAGAGAAAUGCUCAAUGUCCUUAGUUAUCAGGAAAAUGCAAGUGAAAAUGACUCUGAGAUUUAACCUUAUACCCAUUAGAAUGGUUAAGAUCAAAAACUCAAGUGACAACACAUGCUGGAGAGGAUGUGGAGAAAGGGGAACUCUCCUCCAAUGCUGGUGGGAAUGUAAACUUGUACAUCCACUUUGGAAAUCAAUCUGGCACUUUCUCAGAAAAUUGGGAAUAGCACUAUCACAAGAUCCAGCUAUAACACUCCUAGGCAUAUAUCCCAAAUACACUCAAGUAUACAAGGACAUUUGCUCAACUAUGUUUGUAACAGCUUUAUUUGUAAUAACCAGAAUCUGGAAACAAUACAGAUGUCCCUCAACUGAGGAAUAGAUAUAGAAAUUGUGAUUCAUUUACACAAUAGAAUACUACUCAGCAAUUAAAAACAAGGAAAUCAUGACAUUUUCAGGCAAAUGGUGGGAAUUAAAAAAGAUCAUCUUGAGUGAGGAAACCCAGAAGCAGAAAGACACACAUGGUGUAUACUCACUUAUAAGUGGAUAUUAGACAUAUAAUAUAGGAUAAACAUACAUAAAUCUGUACACCUGAAGAAGCUAAUCAAGAAGAAGGACCCUGGGUAAGAUGCUCAAUCCUCAUUCAGAAAGGCAAACGUGAUAGACAUUGGAAGAGGGGAAAAUAGGGAACAGGAGAAGAGCCUACCACAGAGGACCUCUGUGGUAUUAAAGCAGAUUCGGAGACUCGUAGCCAAACUUUGGACAGAUUGCAGGGUAUCUUAUGAAAGAAAGGGAGACAGAAAGAUUUGGAAGGGACAGGAACUCCACAAAGUGAGCAACAGAAACUAGGUUUUCCUGGGUACAAGAAGAAUUGAAUUAACAGGCGUACCAUAACAGUGUUUUGAUUUCUCAUAAAUAUGCAGAAAUUAGAAACUCGGAGUCAUGUGUUGGCCCCACUCUAUGAGGUCACAAAAGGGUAGAUUUAGAUGUUCUGGAUUAUUCCCUCUGUUGUAUAACCGCAAAUACAUUUUUCUCAUUUGCUCCAUCAAAGAAGGCUGCCAGCAGCAGUGUCCAUAUUAAAAGGAAACCAGUGGAAGUACAUGGAAAAGAAGGGGAUAUCUUCCCUGGUUAAGAACAGGUUUCAGAAGUUGAGUAUCUGCUUUCCUCUAACAUGCUGUUUGCAAAAGCUUGGUCACGUGGCCAUGUUUAUCUACUACAGAGAAUGGCAAUACAAUCAUUUUUCAAAGUGGGAUUUGCUCAAUAAAAAAAAAUAAGUAAAUAAAUAUUUUUGUCACUGUCAGAUGAGGAAAAGUAUGUAAAGAUGUUUUCAGACUCUGAGAAUAAUCAAAGGAAUUGACAGUAUGAAAAAUAAACACUCCACAGAACAAGAACAAUGUGUAUUUAAACUAGAUCUAAUAGAAAGGUUAACAUUUUGUCUGGAAAACUAAUAAAGUUUUACACUGUAUUUUACAUUUGUAUAGUUUUUCCUUCCCUCCAUAACAUUUUGAGGUCCUUAAGUGCACAGACUAUGCAUUUUCUAUGUAACUAAUACAUAACCAUCAAUGAAAGAAUGCAUGUGAGUAAAUAGGUAUUAUAUUUGGGAAAUGAAUUGUGCAUCACAAGUUCAUUGGUUUGAAUACUUGGUCUCCAGCUAUAUAACCUUGAGGAGGUAGAGCCUUGCUGGAGGAAGAAGGUUACCUAGGAGGUGGGCUUUGAGAUUUUAGAGAGCCACCCCACUUCUUGUCCCUCUGCUAUCUGCCUGAAGACGCAAUAUGAGUAGCAGACGCCCAUCAAAGUAGACUGAGAUGCGUCCACUGCUAUGAUUAAACUGAAAUACACUGUCACUGUAAGCCAAAAUAAAUCCUUCCUCCAAUCAGUUGCCCCAAUUGUUUUUUGUCACAGUGAUUUAAAAAACAAACAAACAAACAAACAAACAAACAAAACUAAUUUCUGAGAAAGCACCAGAUUGACUUCCAAAGUGGUUGUACAAGUUCACAUUCCCACCAGCAAUGGAGGGGGGUUCCCCGUUCUCCACAACCUCUCCAGCAUGUGUCAUCCCUUAAUUUUUUUUUUUUUUAUUUUAGCUAUUCUGAUGGCUGGGAAGUAGAAUCUCAGGGUCAUUUUGAUUUGCAUUUCUCAGAAGACAAAGGACUCUGAGCAUUUCUUUAAGUGUUUCUCAGGCCAUGGAAGAAGAUGAUGCAGCCAGCCCUGAUGAGACCUGAUAGUCUAGGGUCAGAUAGAAGGAGAGAAGUUCCUCCGCUAUUAGUGGACUAGGGAAAGGGCAUAGAAGGAGAAGAGGGAGAGUAAAUGGGACUGGGAGGAGAUGAGGGAGGGUGCCACACCUGGGAUACAAAGUGAAUAAAUUGUAAUUAAUUAAUUAAUUAAAAAGGAAAGGUGGAAUUGUAAUAUUUAUUCAUAUUUUCUUCUCACUGAGUAGUUGGUGCAAUCACUAGCUAAGGAACAGUUCAACACAGUCUAGUCUGUGUCCAUUGCCUUGGUCAUGGGAUGUACAUAGUGUGUACAUGACAUUAUUUCUGAGUCUGUGGGUUUCUUGCAGGAGGUCUUCUAAGCAAAGAAUCUGACACAGAGAUAGGUAGUGAACAACCAAACCAAGACUAGGAGCCAGUUCUUCUCAUUCAUAAUCCAGCACUCCCUCUACAGCUUCAUGCAGAUUCAGCACAGUUGGAAAUGAGAGGAUGGGAAUUGAACUGGUCAUUUUGAAAACAGAAUUUCUCAACCCAUUUCCACCAAAAAAAAAAAAAAUAAAUAAAUAAAAGCAUUGAGCAGAUAGACCUAUGUUGAGUGUGAGAUUAUAGACUUAGGAACUUCCUGAGG
RNA transcript from Meriones unguiculatus (Mongolian gerbil), 4674 nucleotides. It is a transcript of the gene named toll like receptor 7, with no coding region annotated. The transcript is spliced from 3 exons. The record is from RefSeq and is a predicted model, not a curated record. NCBI's taxonomy places the organism in Eukaryota, Metazoa, Chordata, Mammalia, Rodentia, Muridae.